CAAAGGAGCGGGGACGGCGGCGGGAGCUCAGCCACCGGCGGCGCACUCUUGCCGAAGCCUCCGGGCGUAGCAAGUGGCUCCUCUUUCGUGGCGGCUGCUGGUGCGCAAGACGGGCCGGGCGUGGGGAAAGGAACAAACGGAAAAGGGAUCUCUUUUUGAGAAAAGCUUCCGAAAGUUUUCUUUCUCCUGGAAGCCAAGCAGGACGCGCGUCCCAGGCGCUCUGCCUGUGCGCUCUAGCGCGCUUCGCCCUUUUCCUCUUUCCAGGCAAGAGACAAAGUCCUCCUGCGCCGCGCAGUUAUUACCUGCAGCGGGAACUCUUUUACAACUGAAGAUGAAAGGGGAGCGGGGGAGGGCAAACACACACAAACCACCCACUUUGAUGGACGUCGCUGGUUGCAAAUGAGAGCCUGGGGUAAAGGGUUGGAGCUGGCCAAUGGAAGGUGCCUCUGGGCUAAUUGGGCUGGGAAGGUGCGAGCAACUGCGCCGCGAGAACAAAGUGCGCGCGAGGGGGAUCCGGGCCCCCUUGAGCUGCGCGGGGUCCGCGGUGCGCGCCGUCGCUUCUGUGGAUGUGAGCCGCGUUGGAAGCGAGUUAGUCUUUACUUCUUCCGAGCGGAUGAGACGCCGGGUGCCCCUUGGGGUUUCUCGAAAAGGAAAGGCAAAGUGUGGCCUCACGCGCCUCUGGUUUCAGUCCCAGGCGCCUGGGUUGGUCUCCUGCACUUUGGAGGCGUCCCCAACAAUCUGCUGGGAGGAGGAGGAGGAGGCGGGCAGGCUGAUUAAACUGGAGAGGAAUUGCAGGCUCUGGUUUUCAGCGCAGAAACAAUACCGUCCCACGAAAGCCCCCAGAAUGGGGGCUCGAUUCCCCUCUUCGGAGCGGCAGGAUGUUUUUCUUCUGGGCUCGUGGUCUCUGCAAACAUGACGGCAGCGUUAGGCUGGCCUAUUGUGUUUAAACAUGAACUCAUGCCAAAAGCUUCCAAAGGACAAAGGGAAUUGGUCGAGCGAGCCUCUCCUGCAGAAAGUACAGUUUGGGGAAACAAGGUAAGGAAGUCCCACGGUCUUAUUAUGGAUCAAUCUGGCAUUCAGAAACACCCUCGCCAAACCAGAGGAUCUAAGUGGAUAAGCUACCAGGAGGACCACCUUAAGGAGUGGGAGAGCUGAAACAAGGAACAGAGACCAAACAUCUAGGCCUCUGCCCCAAACGGUGGUGAGCCCCUCCAGUCUGACCACUGAAAUUGGGGCAUCAUCUCUGCAACUCGCUUAUACCCGCUCACCCAGACACUCAAAAGCAACUUCCACUGAAAGCAUUGGGACUUAUGCAUUAAUUAUUUUAUUUUAUUAUGCGUGACCUUCCUUCCCAUAAACUAUUGUCAAUCCUG
Molecule: long non-coding RNA, 1373 nt
Organism: Podarcis raffonei (Aeolian wall lizard)
Lineage: Eukaryota; Metazoa; Chordata; Lepidosauria; Squamata; Lacertidae
Exons: 2
Source: RefSeq, a predicted model, not a curated record